Molecule: ribosomal RNA, 624 nt
Filed under: Streptococcus salivarius
Lineage: Bacteria; Bacillati; Bacillota; Bacilli; Lactobacillales; Streptococcaceae
Description: bacterial SSU rRNA
Rfam family: Bacterial small subunit ribosomal RNA
Source: RNAcentral
GGGGGCACCCUGACCGAGCAACGCCGCGUGCGUGAAGAAGGUUUUCGGAUCGUAAAGCUCUGUUGUAAGUCAAGAACGAGAGUGAGAGUGGAAAGUUCACACUGUGACGGUAGCUUACCAGAAAGGGACGGCUAACUACGUGCCAGCAGCCGCGGUAAUACGUAGGUCCCGAGCGUUGUCCGGAUUUAUUGGGCGUAAAGCGAGCGCAGGCGGUUUGAUAAGUCUGAAGUUAAAGGCUGUGGCUCAACCAUAGUUCGCUUUGGAAACUGUCAAACUUGAGUGCAGAAGGGGAGAGUGGAAUUCCAUGUGUAGCGGUGAAAUGCGUAGAUAUAUGGAGGAACACCGGUGGCGAAAGCGGCUCUCUGGUCUGUAACUGACGCUGAGGCUCGAAAGCGUGGGGAGCGAACAGGAUUAGAUACCCUGGUAGUCCACGCCGUAAACGAUGAGUGCUAGGUGUUGGAUCCUUUCCGGGAUUCAGUGCCGCAGCUAACGCAUUAAGCACUCCGCCUGGGGAGUACGACCGCAAGGUUGAAACUCAAAGGAAUUGACGGGGGGCCCGCACAAGCGGUGGAGCAUGUGGUUUAAUUCGAAGCAACGCGAAGAACCUGCCAGGUCUUGACAUCC